GACGAACGCUGGCGGCGUGCUUAACACAUGCAAGUCGAACGGAAAGGCCCUGCGUUUGUGGGUUUCUCGAUUGGCGAACGCGUGAGUAACACGUGAGUAACCUGCCCUUAACUGUGUGAUAACUUCAGGAAACUGGGGCUAAUACCGCAGAUGAUCUCCUGCUGCAUGGGGUUCGUUGGAAAGUGUCGGCGGUAGGGGAUGGACUCGAUGCUUAUCAGCUUGUUUGUGGGGUAGUUGCUUACCAGGGCUUUGACGGGUAGGCUGCAUGGGAGGGUGACCGGCGACAAUGGGCCUGAGAGACGGAGCAGAAUGCAAUCGGACGCAGUAGUGGGGAACAUUGCGGAAUGGGCGGAAGUCUGAGGCAGAAAUGCCGCGUGCGGGAUGCUGGGUUUUGGGUUGUAAACAGCUUUCGAAUGUGCCGAAGCGUGAGUGACGGUAAUGGGUAAAGAAGCACCGGCUAACUACGUG
RNAcentral lists this ribosomal RNA (468 nucleotides) under uncultured bacterium. Its description in RNAcentral is "partial 16S ribosomal RNA". It matches the Rfam family "Bacterial small subunit ribosomal RNA", at positions 28 to 507 of the family's 1533-position model. The record is from RNAcentral.